Molecule: long non-coding RNA, 1042 nt
Organism: Vicia villosa (hairy vetch)
Lineage: Eukaryota; Viridiplantae; Streptophyta; Magnoliopsida; Fabales; Fabaceae
Exons: 3
Source: RefSeq, a predicted model, not a curated record
CGUAUCCGUGUGAGCUUCUUGGAAAAAAACAAAAGCUAUUGUCAUUGAAAACACAACUAUGCUUACUACUAUACUCAACAUGUCAAAUCAUUUUGCUACCUAAAAUCUGAAAAAUCUCUCUUUCUCUGAUUUCUUCUUCUUCCACCUUCCUCCCUCCUCCUCCCUCUAACACAUGUUCGUCUUCCACCUUCCUCCCUCCGUCUCCCUCUAAUAUAUUUUCUGCUUUCUUCCUCUUCAUUUCCCCUUUUCUUCAUCAUCUUCUUCAUUUCCCAAAACGAAACCGACACGGUUAUCAUGUUUUUUUGGAUUUUUGUUUAAAGAUACUGUUUAGAUAUUGUGGUUAGUGUUUUUGUGGUUUAUAUGAUGAUUUUGUGGUUUAUAUGAUGAUUUUGUGGUUAGGGUUUUUGUGAUUGUGGUUGAUAUCAUGAUUUUGUGGUUAGGGUUUUGAUGCUACUAUUGGCCAAAUGGAGGUUACCGGCGAUUAGUGUGGUGGUGGUGGUAGAAACGGGUUUCCGUCGACGAGUGUGGUGGUGGCCGAAAUCAGAAAGGUUGAUGAAGGAGAUGGUGGUGUAGGUUUGAAUGGUGACCAUAUGUUAAAUAUGGUGAGUUAUUACUACUAUCAUAUGUUUCUGAUGGAUAUGUUUUUUUUACGACGUGUGCAGUUUUGCGAUGAUAUAUCUAUGGUGGCGGCUAAACGUUUCCGGCGACGAGAGUGGCUGUGGAUGGAUUCGAAAUGGUUGAAGUGUUUUAUCAACUAAAAUUACAACAGUAUAAGUUAUAAUUUUCAAUAAUGGGUUAUGAGAAAAUUUCAAUUCUGUUUAAUGUUUUAGAGUUUUAGUCAUUUUAAAACUUGCUAUCAUAAAGGUUUGUUCAUGUUUCCCAAAAACUUGCAGAAAUAAAGAAAUCUCAAAACUAUUUAUGUGGCUUGAAAGCAUCGUGAAUGUAAUGAUUUCUUAUUUUGAUCUAAGGGCAACAAAGAAAGCAAUUUAAGUCAUUAGAAGUAUGCCAUUGAGGUUUAGCAAGGAGGGCAUACAAUAUUUGA